RNAcentral lists this ribosomal RNA (921 nucleotides) under Conidiobolus lamprauges. RNAcentral describes it as "partial large subunit ribosomal RNA". It matches the Rfam family "Eukaryotic large subunit ribosomal RNA", at positions 38 to 936 of the family's 3401-position model. The record is from RNAcentral. Lineage: Eukaryota; Fungi; Entomophthoromycota; Entomophthoromycetes; Entomophthorales; Conidiobolaceae.
GCAUAUCAUUAAGUGGAGGAAAAGAAACUAACAAGGAUUCCCUUAGUAAUGGCGAAUGAACCGGGAAAAGCUCAAAUUUAAAAUCUCAAUAUUUUAUAUUGCGAAUUGUAAUUUAGAGAAUAUUAUUCAGUAUUAAAUUUAACUUAAGUUGGCUGGAAAGCCACUACAGAGAGGGUGAUAUACCCGUAACUGGUUAAAUUUUUUAAUACAUUAGAAUUAAUAUUCAAAGAGUCAGGUUGUUUGGGACUGCAGCCUAAAUUAGGAGGUAAAUUUCUUCUAAAGCUAAAUAUUGGCAAGAGACCGAUAGCGAACAAGUACCGUGAGGGAAAGAUGAAAAGAACCUUGAAAAGGGGUUGAAAAGAAAGUGAAAUUGUUAAAAGGGAAACGCUUAAAAAGGGUAAAUGAAUAAUUAAAAAAUAUAAUUUUUUAUACUAAUUUAAUUAUUCUGUGGUUAAUAAAAAUUUAUUAAAAUAAAAAAGAAUUUUAUAAAGGUACAUUGAAUAAUUUUAUUUAAUGACUUAUAGUAUAAAAUUUAAAAUAUUUUAAUAGAUUUUUUUUUUUUAUUAAUUUAUAAACUUUUUAAAGGUUAUAAAUUUAUUGGAUCAUAACUUUUUUAAGCGACCCGUCUUGAAACACGGACCAAGGGAGUCUAACAUUUAUGCAAGUAGGUGAGAUUUUUAAACUCAUAUGCGUAAUGAAAGUGAAUUCAAGGUAGGAUAAUUAACGAAAGUUAAUUUGCACUAUCGACCGAUCUAAUUGGUUUUUAUCAAUAGAAUUGAGUUAGAGCAUAUAUGUUGGGACCCGAAAGAUGGUGAACUAUGCCUGAAUAGGGUGAAGCCAGAGGAAGCUCUGGUGGAGGCUCGUAGCGAUUCUGACGUGCAAAUCGAUCGUCAAAUUGGGUAUAGGGGCGAAAGACUAAUC